RNAcentral lists this unclassified non-coding RNA (274 nucleotides) under Hevea brasiliensis (rubber tree). Lineage: Eukaryota; Viridiplantae; Streptophyta; Magnoliopsida; Malpighiales; Euphorbiaceae. The record is from RNAcentral.
UCGACCGUCCUGCUGGAUAUCAGGCGCGCGGAAAGCGCCGCCCGAGGAUACCUCCUCACGUCGCAACCUAAAUUUCUGACAGAGCACGAGGCUGCAAUCCAACGCAUCUUGNNNNNNGUCGACACGCUCGCAAGACAGACCAGCGACAGCCCAGUUCAGAUCGAGAACAGCAAGCAACUCCGCGAGUCCGCCGAAUUCGCCAAAGCUGUCGACUACGUGAAAAGGGACGAUAUACCCGGCGGCGUCGCAAUGUUGCGCGACGGCAGUAGCACAA